UACGGGGGGGGUAAGCGUUGUUCGGAAUUACUGGGCGUAAAGGGCUCGUAGGCGGCCAACUAAGUCAUACGUGAAAUCCCUCAGCUUAACUGGGGAACUGCGUGUGAUACUGGAUGGCUUGGAUUUGGGAGAGGGAUGCGGAAUUCCAGGUGUAGCGGUGAAAUGCGUAGAUAUCUGGAGGAACACCUAUGGCGAAGGCAGCUCGCUGGGACGUUACUGACGCUGAGACGCGAAAGCGUGGGGAGCAAACAGG
Molecule: ribosomal RNA, 253 nt
Filed under: uncultured bacterium
Lineage: Bacteria
Description: partial 16S ribosomal RNA
Rfam family: Bacterial small subunit ribosomal RNA
Source: RNAcentral